RNAcentral lists this small RNA (367 nucleotides) under Arabidopsis thaliana (thale cress). RNAcentral describes it as "ATSL296100". Lineage: Eukaryota; Viridiplantae; Streptophyta; Magnoliopsida; Brassicales; Brassicaceae. The record is from RNAcentral.
UGAUUUAUAUUAUAGGGGAAAGAAAAAUAUUGAUCGCUAAAUACAUUUAUUUCAGAUAUUAGAACAGAUACUAGCGAAUAAAAAUCAGAAACGGGCAAUCCGAAUAGUAAAAAACACAACCUGAAUUAUUUUUGAUACCUAUUGAUUUGAAUGGUGGCUGCGUUUUGCGGUGCAGGAGAAGUGCGGUGCGGUUCAAAUAGUAACGAAAAUAUAUAGAUACAUAUGUAUAUGUAAAGAUUUUGAUACUGUUACAGCACUGUUGCGGUACGGUUUUGGGUGCGGUCUAUGUCACCAUUAAUGGCCAUAACGAAAUGAAAAUUUCAUGUUACGAGAUGGAAUUCAGAUUGGGUUAAAUUCAUGUAGCCAU